Molecule: long non-coding RNA, 4975 nt
Filed under: Homo sapiens (human)
Lineage: Eukaryota; Metazoa; Chordata; Mammalia; Primates; Hominidae
Description: non-protein coding lnc-ZNF800-4:1
Source: RNAcentral
CAAGUGAGAAAUCGUAAGUAACUUUAAAGGGGACUAGGAACAUCUAAUAUUAACUUCUUUUUUUAAUCUACAGAAUUAAAGGCUUUGGAAUGCAAAAGAGAAACCUACAAAACCUCAGAAUAUAGACUAUAAUCUACAUUCAGUAGUUCCAAGAGAAGAAAAGUGUAACAUCUAGCUUUCUAACAAGCUCUCAAGGCACAUAAUAUCUCUUCUUUAGAUUUGUAUUCUGUAAAGUACAAGUCCCUAGGCCUUUUAUCAUACGGAAGAGAUUUUUCUCUGAGAUUCUCUGUAAAUACACAGGUUCAACUUUUGAUACAUCUCUGUGUAUUUCUUAAAAUCCCAGUAGAAAGCCGUAAACUCAGGGGCUCAAGAACUCUGUGAGGACGAUAAUGAUAAUGAAAGGCAGAUGUUGCAGCGUGACUGAACAGCAUCCCGAUCGCCUCCUAUGUGAACUGUAGAAAACGUUGUUGAUGAUCCCCUUAAUUUGACAUGGCUUUUCACAACCAUCCAUAAUUGGGUUUUGGGGUGUUUUUUCUUUUAUGACACAAACAGAUCUUUGGAAGAAAUAAGAGGUCCUUAGAUAAGAAAUGGUAGAAAUCCGAGGAAGAUCCAUGGAAGAGAUAAGUUGCUUUUUGCUAGUGGGAGAUUUGCUGGAGGUGGUUGGUCUGUAUGGUCAAGAACCACAAGAACCCUUAGGUGGUUGAGUUUAUUGAAGUGUGUCAUGUGAUUUUCUCUAUGGAGGUCAAGGCUGGAGAAGGAUCUGGAAUAGCAUAACCUGUGAGGACUAAAAACAUACCCUCUAGGCCAGGUGGAGAGACUUUUGGAGUAUAGAGUCUCCAGUGCUGUCCUAAGGAGGCCUGACCUCCUACAGAGUCCUUGUGUACCAAGGAGCCAGGCAGCCACACACUUAGCGAUGCCAGCAUAUGUUGUUCCCCAAGGAAGGAAAGUGCUUCAUUUCUGCUAAAACCCAAUGUGUAUAGCUAAAACCUGUUGUUCUGCUAAAACCUGAUGGGUACAAACUGCAAAAAACAAAAAAACAACAACCUUCUUAAGACAGCAUUUCAUAGACUCACCAUGAUAGCAAUCUUGUUUUUGAGGCAGGGCUUACCUACUUCAGAUACAGGUGUGUACUAACAUCUGGAGGGUUUCUCUAAUUCUGGGCUUUAUGAAGCCAACCCAAGGGUCAGCUGAGAAUGGUGGGCCCACACUGUGUAAUAAGACCCAUACAGACUCUACUCUCCUUGAACAGAAGGAGGCAGUAGAGCAUAGAGGUUGAGGACAGAACUGGGAGUGGGAUUCAUUUUGAAUCCCAUGCCAUCACUUUAAGUGGUGUGUUUGGGAUGUGACUUUUACAGUCUUUCUGUUUUUUUCAGUUGUCCCGUCUGCAAAAUGGGAAUAAUAACACUUAUGGUCUAUUAUAGUCGUUGUCAAUGAGGUAGGUAGAGUGCUUAGUGUAGCACUGGGCACCACCAACACUGAGUGCAAAAGAGAGCCAGUAGGGCUUUGAUUUAAAUUUCCAGUUUUUCCCCAUUAAGACUUUGGACAGCCUGAUGCCUUUGUCUUCUUUUCUGGUCAGGUUCUGGUGGCUCCUGGCUUCUACAGAGCCCUCCUGCAUGUCCAUGUGCUCCUGUUCCACUGUCUUGAGAACAGCCACUGGUUUCAGUGACCAGCCUCCUUUUGAAGUCCCUGCCAUUGCAAUGCCUCUGCUGUCAAAUACCAAUUCAUUAGCAAUUGUUUUCCAGGAGGCAGAAUUUUUCUUUCAUAUGAGCCCUCCAUUCUAUGCCUGUCUUCUUUCCUGUUUCAUUGAGGCAAGGGAAAUAGAAUUUUAUUUAUUUAUAAAAUAAAUUGUAUUGUAUAUAUUCAAGGUAUAAAACAUGUUAAGGGAUACAUGUGGAUAGUAAAAAGGUUACUAUAGUGAAGCAAAUUAAUGUAUCCAUUAUCUCACAUAGUUACCCUUUGUUUUUGUGGUGAGAGCACUCAUUUAGCAUGAAUCUCAUAUAGAGUACAAUUUUAUUACCUAUGACCUUCAUGUUGUACAUUAGAUCUCUAGACUUCUUCAUUCUACAUACCUGCUAUUUUGUAUCCUCUGACAUACAUUUCUUCAUUCCCCCACCCUGACCCCAUAACCACUGUUUUGUUCUCUAUCUCUGAUUUUUUAGAUUCCACAUGUGAGGUCAUGUGAUUUUUUUCCCCCGUGUCUGCCUUAUUUCACUUAGCCCUCUAGUCCCAUCCAUGUCGUGGCAAGUAGAAUCUUGUUCUUUUUAAGACUGAACAAUAUUCCAUUGUAUAUUUGUACCACGGUUUCUUAAGCCAUCUGUCCAUUAGCUGACACUUAGGUUGUUUCCCUGUCUUGGCUGUUGGGAAUAAUGCUGCAAUGAACAUGGGAGUGCAGAUGUCUUUACAAAGUGGUGAUUUUAUUUCCCUUGGGUAUAUGCCCAGAAGAGGGAUUGUUAGGUCAUAUGGUAGCUCUAUUUUUGAUUUCUUUAGAAACCUCCAUAUUCUUUUCCAUAAUGGCUAUACCAGUCUGCAUUCCCAUCAAUAGUGUAUGAGUUCCCUUUUUCCAUACCUUUGCCCACAUUGGUUGUCUUCUGACUUUUUGAUAAUAACCAUUCUAAUGGGUGUGAAGUGGUAUAUCAUGGUGGUUUUGAUUUUCAUUUCUCUUAUGACUAAUGGUAUUGAGUAUCUUUUCAUCUAUCUAUUGGCCAUUUUUAUGUCUUCUUUGGAGAAUGUCUAUUGAGGUCUUUUUAAAAUUGAGUUAUUUGUUUUCUACUAUUAAUAUAUGAAUUCUUUAUACAUUUUAGAUAUUAACUCCUUAUCAGAUAUAUAGUUUGCAGUAUUUUUUUUCCCAAUCUAUAGGCUGUCAUUUCAUUUUGUUGAUUGUUUUCUUUGCUGUACAGAAGCUUUUUAGUUUGAUGUAGUCUCAUUUAUUUUUGUUUUUGUGGCCUGACCUUUUCAUGUGAUAUCCAAAAAGUCAUCAAGGCCAAUGUCCAUGAGCUGUUGCUCCUUCUCUUCUAGAAGUUUUAUAGUUUCUGGUCUUAUGUUUAGGUCUUUUAUUUAGAGUUGAUUUUUGUGUGUGGUGUAAGAUAAAGGUCUGAUUUCAUUCUUUUCCAUGUGGAAAUCCAGUUUUCCCUGCACCAUUUGUUGAAGACUCACCUUUCUCCAUUGUUUUCCCUUGGUGCCCUUGACAAAAAUUACUAUGCUGUGUUUGCAUUGUCAUUUGUCCUAAGUUAUUUUUAAGUUUUCCUUUUGCUUUCUUCUUUGACCCAUUGGUUGUUUAGGAGCAUGUUAUUUAAUUUCCACAUAUUAGUGAAUUUUCCAAGAUUCUUCCUGUUACUGAUUUCUAGUUUCAUACCACUGUGGCCUGAAACAAUACUGUAUAUGAGUACAGUAUUCUUAAAUUUGUUAAGAUUGUUUCGUGGCCUAACAUAUGGUCUAUCCUGGAGAAUGUUCUAUGUGUGUUGAAGAAAAAUGUGCAUGUAUUAUACUGCUGUUGGACAGAAAUUUUUGUCUAUGUCUCCUAGGCCCAUUUGGUCAAAAGUGCUAUUCAAGUCCAGUAUUUCCUUAUUAUUUUUUUUUUUUGCUUCAUCUAUCUAUUGUUGAAAGUGGGGUAUUGAAGUCCCCUAUGAUCAUUGUAUUGCUAUCUAUUUCCCCGUGUCCAUUAUUUGCUUUAUGUAUUUAGGUGCUCUGGUGUGGGGUGCAUAUAUAUUUACAAUAGCCAUGUCCUCUUGAUGAAUUGAUCCCUUAAACUUCUUUAGUGGAAAAGUUGCUUUCUAAUUGGUGGAUUGGAUUGGGCAGAAGUAGAGAUACCUGAAUCGACUCUGUUGCACCCAUUUAAGAGAUAUUCCUUGUAGAAUAUUUCAUGCCUAGUAUGGGGAAGGUCAAGGCUUCUCAAACUUUAUCAUGUCUACAAAUCACUGGAGGCAUCUUGUUAAAAUACAGAAUCUGAUUCAGUGGGUCUAAGGUGGGACCUGAGACUCUGUAUCUUCAACAAGUUUCCAGAUGAUGCUGGUUCAAUGGCAAGGGGAUGGGCCACAUUAAUGUGUUGAAGAGUUGAGUUCGAAGAUGGGCAAUAGUAGAUAGGUUAUCUUUUCAAACAACAAAGCUUACCGUGCUCUUCUAUACUAAUUUUUAUUUAUUUAACUCAUUUUAAAGCUGCAUUUGAGGCAUCAAUAAUUUUACAAAGCUCUAAUAUUCUUUCUCUGGGUAAACAACAUAAAAACAUGGUAAAGUCUUGACAUAUAAGUGUAAAAGGAUUCAGGCAUUAUAGAUGAAAGGAGAAAACAGCAAAAUUGGGUUGCAUUAGUUACAUUGGUUAAUUCUGAAAAGCUUCUAAAAAGAGGUGUUUUGAACCCAGCUUGAAAGAUAUGGCAAAUGUGGAUUAGAGGAUAUUAGAAAUAUACUAAGUUAGUAUACUUGUACAGGGCAGAAGGUGGAAUUAAGCCUUAGGGACAGCUGAAGCAAGGUGAGUGGGGGGAUAGGAGGGAAUUUGCCCAAAGCAGAGACCAAGAGAAAACUGCAGCUUAUUAGUAGUUAGCAGAGAAGUACCCAGCCAAGCUUGCAGAGAGCAUUACGAAAGGGUUUAACAAUAUGUAUUAGGAAACAAGGUCCUUUAAGGUAAACUUGAGCUUCCCACUCUCUAUCAGUGGGGCCUGUCAGAGGACCCUCAUCCACAGCAGUAGGAAGCAUUUUUACUUUCUGUACUUUGGCCGGAACAUGUUUACUUUCAGCUUUGCUUGGUUUGGUGGUGGGGUUCAGACUUCUUGGGAAACAUUGAUUAGCUCUCUGAGGCUUUCUGUGGCUGCCCAACUUUCAUUCAUUGGACCAUUCUUUUGUAAAUUCAAUAUUGUUGAAUCUAGUGCCUCUAUGUCUACUGAACCUCAUGCUAAAGGUGUGAUAAUUGCAUAUUUGCAGUUAAAUAGCAAUAGCAAUAAUAGCACACACAAAUAUACCAUCUAACUUACGGAGAGAUGCUUUC